This 446-nucleotide ribosomal RNA is filed under the name uncultured bacterium. RNAcentral's name for it is "partial 16S ribosomal RNA". It matches the Rfam family "Bacterial small subunit ribosomal RNA", at positions 331 to 793 of the family's 1533-position model. The record is from RNAcentral.
CCCCACUCCUACGGGAGGCAGCAGUGGGGAAUAUUGCCCAAUGGGGGCAACCCUGAUGCCCACCCGCCGCCUGAGUGAAGAAGUACCUCCGUCUGUAACCCUCUCUCAGCAGCGCAGAAAAAAGACGGUACCUGACUCACAAGCCCCGGCUAACCACGUGCCACAAGCCGACGUAAUACGCAGGGGGACAGCGUCAUCCGGAUUUACUGGGUGUAAAGGGAGCGUAGACGGCAAUACAAGUCCGAAGUGAAAUACCCGGGCUCAACCUGGGAACUGCUUUGGAAACUGUAUGGCUGGAGUGCUGGAGAGGUAAGCGGAAUUCCUAGUGUAGCGGUGAAAUGCGUAGAUAUUAGGAGGAACACCAGUGGCGAAGGCGGCUUACUGGACAGUAACUGACGUUGAGGCUCGAAAGCGUGGGGAGCAAACAGGAUUAGAUACCCCGGUAC